Molecule: ribosomal RNA, 432 nt
Filed under: Pagurus ochotensis (Alaskan hermit crab)
Lineage: Eukaryota; Metazoa; Arthropoda; Malacostraca; Decapoda; Paguridae
Description: partial 16S ribosomal RNA
Rfam family: Bacterial large subunit ribosomal RNA
Source: RNAcentral
AUUCUGACUGUGCGAAGGUAGCAUUUUAAAUUGUCUUUUACAUGGAGGCUUGAAUGAAAGGUUGGACAAAGUAUCAUCUGUUUCUUAAGUAUUUAUUGAAUUUGACUUUCAAGUGAAAAGGCUUGAAUAAAUUAAAAAGACGAUAAGACCCUAUAAAUCUUUACAAUAAACAUGUUCUAUAUUUUAAUUUGUAAGUAUAUAAAAUGUUAAAUUUGUAUUUGUUUCGCUGGGGCGGCGUAGAUAUAUAAAUAAACUGUCUAUAUAUUAAAACCAGUAAUUAUUGAUUAAUAAAAUUGAUCCUUAAAAAGAUUAAAAGAUUAAGAUACUUUAGGGAUAACAGCGUUAUUUUUUUUGAGAGUUCUUAUCGAAGAAAAAGUUUGCGACCUCGAUGUUGAAUUAAAGUAUCUUUGUGGUGUAGCCGCUAUAAGAGAG